GUUAAGUAAGACCCUACAUGCUUUCAGCUGUCUACAUACUUAUCUCAUCUCAUUCUGACAGCUAUCACAAUAAAAAAUCUCGCAUUUGUAAAUUAAUCACGUCGCACAGCUGGAUUAGAAGUGACGAAGAAUUCAUAAUUACACCUGCGAUGAAUUGAUGUCUGCAUAAGUAUAUCUGUAUUUGCUUCGAAACGAAUGGACCUAUUAUGCAUCAUGAGAUAGACCUGUAUAGAAGAUGUUACCUGAUUGUACGAUCAAUGAACCAGUGCAUUUAUACCAGCAGAUGUGGCAAUAAGAUGCGUAAAAAAUUGCAAAACUCGAGACUUCUUUCAAUUUGUGGUAUUGCUCUUGCGACAUUGUAUUGUUUACGUGCAUUAGGUAGGUCGAUAGAGUACUCAUAGUAUACAACACAGCUCACGAUAAUUGCUUCGAGACAAGUACAUACAAAUAUAAUUACAAUACCUUGUAGUGGUAAUUUUUCCUACAUGUACGAGUACGUAUUAGCAGCUAUAUAUUAGAUUCAACCACUUACCAAUAUCACACCAGUGAUACAGGUAUAAUGUCCGGAAUUUUAGCCAAACAUUUGUUUUUAUAACGUUUCGUCAAAAAAAUAAAAAUAAAAUUACCGCCAUCGAUGUCUGCACUCCAGUCGUGCAUUUAAAGGGCUGAUUAGGUACUCGUUGUGGAGGUAAUGACAAUGAAAUUAUCGCACAUUAAUGUCACAGUGAUGAGAAUAUAAAGUGUUGAUAAAUUUUAAUCAUCUCCUCUCAUCAAAUUACGAGUAUACAA
This is a long non-coding RNA of Planococcus citri (citrus mealybug), 789 nucleotides long. RefSeq lists it as uncharacterized. The record is from RefSeq and is a predicted model, not a curated record. The transcript is spliced from 3 exons. NCBI's taxonomy places the organism in Eukaryota, Metazoa, Arthropoda, Insecta, Hemiptera, Pseudococcidae.